AUGCUCCUCAACCUGUUCGCCGCCGGCGGCGGCGAGGAGGCCUCCUCCCUCCUCCCCGUCGACGCGCUCCGGCGGCACGGCGUCGCCGCCGUCGCCGAGUACCCGUGCAGCCACCGGCAUGGGCCGUCGCUCCCGCUCGCCACGGCCCGCGCGCUCCUCGCCACCUGCGUCGACUGGCUGAUCACCGACGGCCAGCGCAACGUCCUCCUCAUGCGCUGCGACCGCGGCGCGCGGCCGGCGCUCGCGCUCGCCAUGGCCAGCCUGCUGGUGUACAUGGAGGAGGAGCCCGCGCCGCCGGAGCUCGUGACGACGACGACCCUGGCGGCGGUGUACGGCAGGGCACCGGUGGCGCUGCUGCUCGCCGCCGGCUCGGCACUGAAUCCACGGCCCUCUCACCUGAGGUACCUGCAGUACGUGGCAAGGCUGAGGGGGAUGACGACGAGGCAUGGACCACCACCACCAUCGCCCCUCCUCGUCUUGGACUGCCUCAUCCUCAGACCUGUUCCAGAUUUUGAUGGCAAUGGGGGAUGCAGACCGGUUGUCCGAGUUCAUGGUCGCCGCGACGCCGCCGCCGACUACGACGGCGAUCGGGCCGAUGAUGCUUCACCCAAGAUCCUAGGACGGUGGCGGAUGGAGCCGACGGCGGAUGCAACAGGCGGGGCGGCGUCGGGCAAAGCGGCGGCGCACAAAGCCGGCAGCGCGGAGCGGGGUGGCAGCGAUGGAUUGCAUAGGACGGCGGCGGAUGGAGCCGGUGGCGUGCAGCUACCGGAGAGGGCGUGGGAGGGA
RNAcentral lists this long non-coding RNA (786 nucleotides) under Oryza sativa Indica Group (long-grained rice). RNAcentral describes it as "lncRNA OsKYG_03g0022240". Lineage: Eukaryota; Viridiplantae; Streptophyta; Magnoliopsida; Poales; Poaceae. The record is from RNAcentral.